UACAGAGGGGGCAAGCGUUGUUCGGAAUUACUGGGCGUAAAGGGCGCGUAGGCGGCCGCCUAAGUCAGACGUGAAAUCCCUCGGCUCAACCGGGGAACUGCGUCUGAUACUGGGUGGCUUGAAUCCGGGAGAGGGAUGCGGAAUUCCAGGUGUAGCGGUGAAAUGCGUAGAUAUCUGGAGGAACACCGGUGGCGAAGGCGGCAUCCUGGACCGAAACUGACGCUGAUGCGCGAAAGCCAGGGGAGCAAACGGG
This 253-nucleotide ribosomal RNA is filed under the name uncultured bacterium. RNAcentral's name for it is "partial 16S ribosomal RNA". It matches the Rfam family "Bacterial small subunit ribosomal RNA", at positions 524 to 776 of the family's 1533-position model. The record is from RNAcentral.